This 253-nucleotide unclassified non-coding RNA is filed under the name uncultured cyanobacterium. RNAcentral describes it as "contains 16S-23S intergenic spacer region". It matches the Rfam family "Bacterial small subunit ribosomal RNA", at positions 524 to 776 of the family's 1533-position model. The record is from RNAcentral. Lineage: Bacteria; Bacillati; Cyanobacteriota.
UACGUAGGAUGCAAGCGUUGUUCGGAAUUACUGGGCGUAAAGAGUACGUAGGCGGUUUGAUAAGUCUGAUAUUAAAGACUGGGGCUCAACUUCAGGAGUGUAUCGGAAACUAUCAGACUAGAGGACAAUAGAGGAAGUCGGAAUUCUCAGUGUAGCGGUGAAAUGCGUAGAUAUUGGGAAGAACACCAGUGGCGAAAGCGGACUUCUGGGUUGUUACUGACGCUGAGGUACGAAAGCGUGGGGAGCAAACGGG